Long non-coding RNA from Nicotiana tabacum (common tobacco), 681 nucleotides. RefSeq lists it as uncharacterized. NCBI's taxonomy places the organism in Eukaryota, Viridiplantae, Streptophyta, Magnoliopsida, Solanales, Solanaceae. The record is from RefSeq and is a predicted model, not a curated record.
AACCUUAAUCUAAUAUUUCAUGCCCAAACCCUAUUUCCCCAAUUUCCUCUUUCUCUCUCACUCUCUCUGCUCGACCGAUAACCCUUCUCUCUGCUCGACCGAUCCCUAUUUUCUCAAAUUUUUGAAGGAAGCCUAUCAACAACUUUUUAAGGAAUGGCAUCAAAGUCAACCCGAUUCCGAGGAUGGUAGCUCAACCCAAGUAUCACUCAAUGAUGUAGCUAUAAUAUGGUCGCAGGUAGUUGUGGCGCAAAUAAAGGUAGAACCUACGGUCUUGGAUCACAAUAUUCCGUAGGUCGUUUUAUGACAUUGUUGUCUGGUGAUGCGAGUCAUUCGCAAGAUCACGAAGAGGUGGAAGCACUACGAAAAGAAGUUGAAUAGUUGGAGGAACGAAAAGAAGAUCUCUAGUGAAGAAAUUUAUGAGCGGACGUCCAUUUGGUCCUUUGAAUGGCGAGGAUGGUGGGGAUAAUGAGUUUUAGUUUGUUAUGGUUAUGAUGUUUGAGACAUUAUUAUUUGUUGUAGUUGGAUGUUUAGACUUGGUAAUAUUUACACCUAUGAUUGUAAUGUUUUAGACUAGAUUGAAUGGUGCUAGAAUGUUUAGUUCUUUUUGGAUCUUUUAGUUACCAAUAUUUAUGUUUUGCAUUUUAUGGAUUUGAUUAGUUGGAAUGGUGGAUUUAUUGGUUA